CUUCCACCAUGGCAUCCAACACCGUGCUCUGUGCCCUAUUGGUUGCUUUGCUAGCGGCACUCUGCAGUGGUGAGGCUGACGUCUCCAGCAGGGGCCGCAAACGCUCCUUUUCUUCCGACGUGUGGCGACUGGUGAACGAGGCGGACAUGCCCGUUGAAGAGUAUGUUUCCAUGCCUGGAGACUCGUCCGUGAGGAGAUACCUGCUUCCGCUACACGUAUGAGGCGGUGGAUGGAGCAAAACCGUUAAGAUCUUAGCUGAUCUAACGUACAUUUGAGGAAAAUUUCGUACCACCAGAAAGCUGUGCUUCAAUUUUUUCUUUGGUCUAACGUAUUCGUAAAUUGUGU
Molecule: unclassified non-coding RNA, 345 nt
Filed under: Schistocerca americana (American grasshopper)
Lineage: Eukaryota; Metazoa; Arthropoda; Insecta; Orthoptera; Acrididae
Description: uncharacterized LOC124625815, transcript variant X1
Source: RNAcentral